UGGGGAAUCUUGGACAAUGGGGGCAACCCUGAUCCAGCCAUGCCGCGUGAGUGAUGAAGGCCUUAGGGUCGUAAAGCUCUUUCGCCUGUGAAGAUAAUGACGGUAGCAGGUAAAGAAACCCCGGCUAACUCCGUGCCAGCAGCCGCGGGUAAUACGGAGGGGGUUAGCGUUGUUCGGAAUUACUGGGCGUAAAGCGCACGUAGGCGGACCAGAAAGUUGGGGGUGAAAUCCCGGGGGCUCAACCCCGGAACUGCCUCCAAAACUAUUGGUCUAGAGUUCGAGAGAGGUGAGUGGAAUUCCAAGUGUAGAGGUGAAAUUCGUAGAUAUUUGGAGGAACACCAGUGGCGAAGGCGGCUCACUGGCUCGAUACUGACGCUGAGGUGCGAAAGUGUGGGGAGCAAACAGGAUUAGAUACCCUGGUAGU
Molecule: ribosomal RNA, 424 nt
Filed under: uncultured bacterium
Lineage: Bacteria
Description: bacterial SSU rRNA
Rfam family: Bacterial small subunit ribosomal RNA
Source: RNAcentral